CGGACGGGUGAGUAACGCGUGGGUAACCUGCCUCAUACAGGGGGAUAACAGUUAGAAAUGACUGCUAAUACCGCAUAAGCGCACAGAAUCGCAUGAUUCGGUGUGAAAAACUCCGGUGGUAUGAGAUGGACCCGCGUCUGAUUAGCUAGUUGGUGGGGUAAAGGCCUACCAAGGCGACGAUCAGUAGCCGACCUGAGAGGGUGAUCGGCCACAUUGGGACUGAGACACGGCCAAACUCCUACGGAAGGCAGCAG
Molecule: ribosomal RNA, 254 nt
Filed under: uncultured bacterium
Lineage: Bacteria
Description: partial 16S ribosomal RNA
Rfam family: Bacterial small subunit ribosomal RNA
Source: RNAcentral